This is a long non-coding RNA of Colius striatus (speckled mousebird), 1882 nucleotides long. RefSeq lists it as uncharacterized. Lineage: Eukaryota; Metazoa; Chordata; Aves; Coliiformes; Coliidae. The record is from RefSeq and is a predicted model, not a curated record. The transcript is spliced from 7 exons.
CCCGGGCCCGGAGCUGCGUUCGCGGCGCUUGCGGCGCCGAUGGCUCGCUCAGGGAACUGCGGAGUUGCGUGUGGGGAGAAAAACAAUCCCAGACACAUGCCUUUCCCCAGGUGAAGGAGUAGGACUGAGGACCUCCUGGAGGUCCUGGCAUUCGUGCAGAGCAGCAUGGCACAUCCUCAGAAGGUCGUGGAAGAGGAGGGAGGACGUCUGCGAGUGCACCUCAUGCCAUGCCAAGCACGAACUGGUUGCUCUUGUUUAACUGCCCUGACGCAAGGAGCUCUUUCCCCAGAAGUACCAGAUUUUAGCUUCCCAGAUUUGCUGAAGGAGCCAGGGAGAACAGGAGAACCUCUGGGAUUCAGCCAAAGAAACAAGAUGGCAAAGGGAGUAUCUGGUCUGCAGGAACACCUCACAUCUCACAGGGGCCUAAGCCCAGGCCUCUUCUUGGAUGGACGGUGCUUUCUAGAGCUCCUGCAGCAGGUGGAGUUUUGGGAAGAAUCAAAGACGUGGAGAUGUAACACAGGAUCUUGCACACCUGCCGUCACACAGCAACUCCUGCCCAUCAGCACAGCCUGGUCUCAUUUUUCAUGUUGCUGCGGGAGCAAGAGACCUUUGUUAAGACCACGAAUAACAGGAUGCUGGAGCUGAUCUAGGAGCACUUGAGUAGAGAAGGGAGAGUCUCCGGGGCAGAGCCACUCCAGGUGCUUGAAAGACAACGCAGCAACAACAGCAAAGGUGGGACAGCAGGUUCUGGCCCUGCCUGGAGAAGGGACCAUCAAGACUCAGGCUGUGCUCAGUUACCUUGGAUUCUUUACAGUCCCCAUAGCUGGUGUGUGCAACCUUGAGGAUGGUGUCUGAGGAGCAGCUCAGCUGAGCAGAUGUGUAUCCAACAACAGAGGGCUGAGUGUGCAUGUCCGGAGCUGCUGAGGGGAUUUCUGCUGUGCCUUCAGGAGCUGUGUAGGAACCACUGCCCUUUUGCACAGGCAGUAGCUUUUCUCUGGCUCUGAUGUGUUGUGAGGUGCAAAAGGGCUUGUCCUUUUGGGAGUUCAAAGUGGUCAUCAACAGCCCCUUCCCCACACGGUGUCGUAGGGAGAAGUAUUUGAUCUCUGCCCAAACUCAGCUCUCCAACGGGAGGUCUGCAUUUCUCCAAAGAGAGAGGAUGAGGAGAAAAGACAAAGACACAGUGGCUGAUAGAAAGACUGGAGAAAGCCUAAGACAGAGCCAGGGCAGCAGGCAGAGGAGAGGCGCAGGUCUGGUGCAGUGACGGAGAAUGCACGGCUGUGGAGGGAGAGCUCCUUGCUGGGUGCACUGCGGCAGAGGGCACCAGAAAGCAAGAGAAACUUUGCUCGGUGCUGACAGCUUGUGAAAUACUGACGCCUUUGUGGGUUACAGAAACUGGGGGUGCCGGUGAUGGGAAGGGUGUUGUGCUUCAUGUGGGAAGGAGCGACGAAGAAAGACACGACAGUCUUCUGCUGCCUACUUUAACGUACCAGGAACACAGGCAGUGUCAUGGCCACGAGCUUUCUCGGCAUCCCGGCUCAGACCCUCGUGUGUGGCAGCGGCACUUCGGUGCAGAGGUGCUGCUGCUGCCCGCUGGUACCUGAUGGCCUUCCGGGACGCUGAACACCUGAGAAGCUUCUUGAGCUGGGGCAGCGGGUCUCUCUAUAGCUGUGUGCACCCUCCGAAUCCCGCAGAGGCUGCUCCUGGCGCUUCCACAUCACAAACUGAUGUGUGUGAUGCCGUGCGCCUGUCUCGGAGCCCUCUUCAUCUGCAGAAUACCACCAGUGCCAUGUCCUCGUCCCUCACACCCCGCCACACCCCCGCCUGCAGCUGGCCCCUGUCAGGGGAGGUGCGGGGACUCCCGGGGUCGCGAGUCCCGCGGCCA